CAGCAGCCACGGGAAUACAGAGGGUGCAAGCGUUAAUCGGAAUUACUGGGCGUAAAGCGCGCGUAGGUGGUUCGCCAAGUUGGAUGUGAAAUCCCCGGGCUCAACCUGGGAACUGCAUCCAAAACUGGCGAGCUAGAGUAUGGUAGAGGGUGGUGGAAUUUCCUGUGUAGCGGUGAAAUGCGUAGAUAUAGGAAGGAACAUCAGUGGCGAAGGCGACCACCUGGACUGAUACUGACACUGAGGUGCGAAAGCGUGGGGAGCAAACAGGAUUAGAUACCCCAGUAGUCCCUGUCUCUUAUAA
RNAcentral lists this ribosomal RNA (301 nucleotides) under uncultured bacterium. Its description in RNAcentral is "partial 16S ribosomal RNA". It matches the Rfam family "Bacterial small subunit ribosomal RNA", at positions 509 to 809 of the family's 1533-position model. The record is from RNAcentral.